This 253-nucleotide ribosomal RNA is filed under the name uncultured bacterium. Its description in RNAcentral is "partial 16S ribosomal RNA". It matches the Rfam family "Bacterial small subunit ribosomal RNA", at positions 524 to 776 of the family's 1533-position model. The record is from RNAcentral.
UACGUAGGGGGCAAGCGUUGUCCGGAAUUAUUGGGCGUAAAGAGCGUGUAGGCGGUCCGGUAAGUCGGCUGUGAAAGUCCAGGGCUCAACCCUGGGAUGCCGGUCGAUACUGCCGGACUAGAGUUCGGAAGAGGCGAGUGGAAUUCCCGGUGUAGCGGUGAAAUGCGCAGAUAUCGGGAGGAACACCUAUGGCGAAGGCAGCUCGCUGGGACGUUACUGACGCUGAGGUGCGAAAGCGUGGGGAGCAAACAGG